UAGAGCUUCAGGCAGGUUGUAGCAAUGAAAUCACCUUCAGAGAAGGUGUUAAACAUACAGCGAUAGCACCCUUCAUCCUCCUCCAUCACCCUCCUGAUAACUAUGGAGGUGUUCUGCAGUCCAGCAUCUUUAAACGCCAGCUUACUUUGAAAACCAGCAUUCACUCUUUCACCAAAUCGUUCACUGUAAGUAGCCAUGUUCUUCUCCCCCUCAGGUAAAAUCUUCUGCCAUGUGACUUGCAGAACAUCUCUAGAUUGCAUCAGGUGACAGUUUAAGCAGGCUUCGUCUCCUACAGCUGCAUCCACAGUGUGCUGGGUUUCUAUCAGAGCUGUUAGACC
Long non-coding RNA from Sebastes umbrosus (honeycomb rockfish), 338 nucleotides. RefSeq lists it as uncharacterized. NCBI's taxonomy places the organism in Eukaryota, Metazoa, Chordata, Actinopteri, Perciformes, Sebastidae. The record is from RefSeq and is a predicted model, not a curated record. The transcript has 3 exons.